AGUAGGCAGGCUUCUGGAAGGAUGGGGCCCAGCACUCACAGCCUGGGCUAGCUGCCUGAGAGUAGAGAGUGGCAGGUGAGGGCUCUGAACCUUACUGUGUGCUGCCCAAGGAGCACCUAGGGCUGCCAAGAGGCCCAGGGAGGAGCCUUGAGACCUGACUGGGAAAGGCUUUUCUCCCCGCAGAGGACCACUGCUCAGGCUCAGCGGCCAUGGGGCAGAGCCCAUACAAAAGUGGGCAUCCAGUCAUGCUCUAAGCCCCCUGAAGAAGAAGACCAGGGAGCAGCUUCCUCUGAUGAAGCAGCAGUGAUCAGGGGACAGGAGGCUGAAGCCGUGAGCCCAGCAGAGUCAGGAACAGCCAAGUCUGGGACAGGCUUCAAUUAUUUUAGGGACAUGUCCAACCUGUAAAACCCACCUGUUCUGUCACCCUCAGCUUCUGGUGUCUACUUUCUAGACUGAAGGCAAUACUGGAAAGGUCGGAUUCAAGGGCUUUCAGG
Molecule: long non-coding RNA, 494 nt
Filed under: Callithrix jacchus (white-tufted-ear marmoset)
Lineage: Eukaryota; Metazoa; Chordata; Mammalia; Primates; Cebidae
Description: lncRNA (ENSCJAG00000068981.2)
Source: RNAcentral